AGCGGCGGACGGGUGAGUAAUGCCUAGGAAUCUGCCUAGUGGUGGGGGAUAACGUUCGGAAACGGACGCUAAUACCGCAUACGUCCUACGGGAGAAAGCGGGGGAUCUUCGGACCUCGCGCCAUUAGAUGAGCCUAGGUCGGAUUAGCUAGUUGGUGAGGUAAUGGCUCACCAAGGCGACGAUCCGUAACUGGUCUGAGAGGAUGAUCAGUCACACUGGAACUGAGACACGGUCCAGACUCCUACGGGAGGCAGCAGUGGGGAAUAUUGGACAAUGGGCGAAAGCCUGAUCCAGCCAUGCCGCGUGUGUGAAGAAGGUCUUCGGAUUGUAAAGCACUUUAAGUUGGGAGGAAGGGCAGUAACCUAAUACGUUAUUGUUUUGACGUUACCGACAGAAUAAGCACCGGCUAACUUCGUGCCAGCAGCCGCGGUAAUACGAAGGGUGCAAGCGUUAAUCGGAAUUACUGGGCGUAAAGCGCGCGUAGGUGGUUCAGUAAGUUGGAAGUGAAAUCCCCGGGCUCAACCUGGGAACUGCUUUCAAAACUGCUGAGCUAGAGUACGGUAGAGGGUGGUGGAAUUUCCUGUGUAGCGGUGAAAUGCGUAGAUAUAGGAAGGAACACCAGUGGCGAAGGCGACC
RNAcentral lists this ribosomal RNA (636 nucleotides) under Pseudomonas sp. EHL_27. Its description in RNAcentral is "bacterial SSU rRNA". It matches the Rfam family "Bacterial small subunit ribosomal RNA", at positions 94 to 726 of the family's 1533-position model. Lineage: Bacteria; Pseudomonadati; Pseudomonadota; Gammaproteobacteria; Pseudomonadales; Pseudomonadaceae. The record is from RNAcentral.